GCGGAGGAAAAGAAACCAACAGGGAUUGCCUCAGUAACGGCGAGUGAAGCGGCAACAGCUCAAAUUUGAAAUCUGGCUCCUUCGGGGCCCGAGUUGUAAUUUGCAGAGGAUGCUUCGGGUACGGGUUCCUUCCGAGUUCCCUGGAACGGGACGCCAUAGAGGGUGAGAGCCCCGUCUGGUAGGACACCCAGCCCGUGUGAAGCUCCCUCGACGAGUCGAGUAGUUUGGGAAUGCUGCUCUAACGGGAGGUAUACUCCUUCCAAGGCUAAAUACCGGCUGGAGACCGAUAGCGCACAAGUAGAGUGAUCGAAAGAUGAAAAGCACUUUGAAAAGAGAGUCAAAUAGCACGUGAAAUUGUUGAAAGGGAAGCACUCGCUACCAGACAUGGGUUCGGCGGUUCAACCGGGGCCACGCCCCGGGGCACUCCGCCGGCCCAGGCCAGCAUCAGCUUUCCGUCGGGGGCAAAGGCGUCGGGAAUGUGGCUCUCCUUCGGGGGAGUGUUAUAGCCCGGCGUGUCAUACCCUUCGGGGGGCUGAGGUACGCGCUUCUGCAAGGAUGCUGGCGUAAUGGUAGCUAGUGACCCGUCUUGAAACACGGACCAAGGAGUCAACCUUAUGUGCGAGUGCCCGGGCGUAAAACCCCAGCGCGGAAUGAAAGUGAACGUAGGUGAGAGCUUCGGCGCAUCACCGACCGAUCCUGAUGUCCUCGGACGGAUUUGAGUGAGAGCAUAUAGGGUUGGACCCGAAAGAAGAUGAACUAUGCGUGUGUAGGGUGAAUCCAGAGGAAACUCUGGUGGAGGCUCGCAGCGGUUCUGACGUGCAAAUCGA
Molecule: unclassified non-coding RNA, 827 nt
Filed under: Gibellulopsis serrae
Lineage: Eukaryota; Fungi; Ascomycota; Sordariomycetes; Glomerellales; Plectosphaerellaceae
Description: sequence contains 28S rRNA gene
Rfam family: Eukaryotic large subunit ribosomal RNA
Source: RNAcentral